UACAGAGGUCCCAAGCGUUGUUCGGAUUCACUGGGCGUAAAGGGUGCGUAGGUGGUCGGGUAAGUCUGAGGUGAAAUCUCCGAGCUCAACUCGGAAACUGCCUUGGAUACUAUUCGGCUAGAGGGUUGGAGGGGGGACUGGAAUUCUCGGUGUAGCAGUGAAAUGCGUAGAUAUCGAGAGGAACACCAGUGGCGAAGGCGAGUCCCUGGCCUGUUCUUGACGCUGAGGCGCGAAAGCUAGGGGAGCAAACGGG
RNAcentral lists this ribosomal RNA (253 nucleotides) under uncultured bacterium. Its description in RNAcentral is "partial 16S ribosomal RNA". It matches the Rfam family "Bacterial small subunit ribosomal RNA", at positions 524 to 776 of the family's 1533-position model. The record is from RNAcentral.